GUCUUGAUUGACUUUUGGUGCCUGCUGUAGAUGCUGAGAGGUGCAAGCGCAGCCUUCUCAAUUCAGCUUCAUAGAUCUCUGCAAAAAAUUACUGUUCUGUGUGAGUCUGCUCAUUUCACUGUAUAAAGAACUACAUAGACAGUAAAGCACCUUAUCCUGCUCAAUGCCACACUAACCAUGUGGGAGGAAAGGAAGUGGAAUUGCUCCAUAGCCAAAACUGCAGGGUGCUAGUUGGAAGGACACAGUGGAAUUUAAACAGUCCCUCAAGUUUAAAAUGGGUACCGAGACUUUCCAUGUAGGAGCAACUGGCAGAGUGCAAAGAAGUCAAGGCUCAGUCAUGGGUCUCGGUCCCCACAGGAGAUGGCUCAGCUCAGGCUGCUCACUGGCAUUUCACUGCUUGAAUCCCAACUGUCCCUCCUGACUUUAGUAAUUGCUCGGAUAUCUCUGACAGUAACAAUUUAUUUGAGAACUUUUUUAACUGCUGGGACAGAGGGAACACUUUAAUAGGCUCACAGAAGAGUAAUAUCCUCUAAAGAAGCUGUUGAGGAAUGUGGCUACUCACAUAUCCACCUGCAACAAGAGGUUAUUGCUAAGUUGUAACACAUUGCACAUUGUUAAAUGGACUGAAAGAUAAAUUUGAAAAUCAUCAACGUCAAAGGAUCAUGGCAUGGGUUAAAGUAACUGACCUUUUCACUAAGAUAUUGAGCACCCUUCAUGCCUCCUGGAACUGAGGAUGCUGAAGGGGUUUCUGAAGUGACCAUCUAACACAUCCGGUACUGAACACUUCAGGCUUAAUGGAGAACAGCAAUGGGACAACUUCAGGUGAUAACACCAGCUCAGUGUUUGACUGGACUCUGUUUUGUGUUAC
Non-coding RNA from Zonotrichia albicollis (white-throated sparrow), 868 nucleotides. NCBI's taxonomy places the organism in Eukaryota, Metazoa, Chordata, Aves, Passeriformes, Passerellidae. The record is from RefSeq and is a predicted model, not a curated record.